GGAAAGGCGCGCGAUACAGGGUGACAGCCCCGUACACAAAAAUGCACAUACUGUGAGCUCGAUGAGUAGGGCGGGACACGUGGUAUCCUGUCUGAAUAUGGGGGGACCAUCCUCCAAGGCUAAAUACUCCUGACUGACCGAUAGUGAACCAGUACCGUGAGGGAAAGGCGAAAAGAACCCCGGCGAGGGGAGUGAAAAAGAACCUGAAACCGUGUACGUACAAGCAGUGGGAGCACGCUUAGGCGUGUGACUGCGUACCUUUUGUAUAAUGGGUCAGCGACUUAUAUUCUGUAGCAAGGUUAACCGAAUAGGGGAGCCGAAGGGAAACCGAGUCUUAACUGGGCGUUAAGUUGCAGGGUAUAGACCCGAAACCCGGUGAUCUAGCCAUGGGCAGGUUGAAGGUUGGGUAACACUAACUGGAGGACCGAACCGACUAAUGUUGAAAAAUUAGCGGAUGACUUGUGGCUGGGGGUGAAAGGCCAAUCAAACCGGGAGAUAGCUGGUUCUCCCCGAAAGCUAU
Molecule: ribosomal RNA, 520 nt
Filed under: Escherichia coli
Lineage: Bacteria; Pseudomonadati; Pseudomonadota; Gammaproteobacteria; Enterobacterales; Enterobacteriaceae
Description: bacterial LSU rRNA
Rfam family: Bacterial large subunit ribosomal RNA
Source: RNAcentral